CUCAGAAGCUGUGGAAGUGAAUAGAUGAAGUAUCGCCAACAGAUGGGCUUGCGGCUGAUUAGCUAGUUGGUGAGGUAAUGGCUUACCAAGGACAAUGAUCAGUAUCUGGUCUGAGAGGAUGAUCAUCCACACUGGGACUGAGACACAGCCCAGACUCCUACGGUAGGCAGCAGUGAGGAAUUUUCCGCAAUGGGCGAGAGCCUGACCGAGCAAUGCCGCGUGAAGGAUGAAGGCCUGUGGGUUGUAAACUUCUUUUCUCAUAGAACAAAAAUUGACGGUAUCUGAGGAAUAAUCAUCGGCUAACUCUGUGCCAGCCGCCUCGGUAAGACAGAGGAUGCAAUCGUUAUCCGGAAUGAUUGGGCGUAAAUCGUCUGUAGGUGGUUUGACAAGUCUCCUGUCAAAGAUCAGGGCUUAACCCUGGGCCGGCAGGAAAAACUAUCAGGCUAGAGUUCGGUAGGGGCAGAGGGAAUUCCCGGUGGAGCGGUGAAAUGCGUAGAUAUCGGGAGGAACACCAAAGGCGAAAGCACUCUGCUGGGCCGAUUUUUUUUGUUUUUUUUUGUUUUUUGAAUCCGUUCAUCAAACCUAAAACAGUUCAAAAAAAGUACUGACUCUGAGAGACGAAUGCGAGGGGAGCAAAUGGAAUUACAUACCCCAGUAGUUCAAAUUCGAUAAUCUCAGGAGGAACGCCGAAAGCGAAGGCAAUUUUCUAGUACUUUACUGACGU
RNAcentral lists this ribosomal RNA (724 nucleotides) under Parachlorella kessleri. RNAcentral's name for it is "partial small subunit ribosomal RNA". It matches the Rfam family "Bacterial small subunit ribosomal RNA", at positions 184 to 858 of the family's 1533-position model. Lineage: Eukaryota; Viridiplantae; Chlorophyta; Trebouxiophyceae; Chlorellales; Chlorellaceae. The record is from RNAcentral.